UCGAGACUUGCUGUUUUGGUUUUAUUACUGCUAACUUCAUUCAAACAAUCAGUUAACAGAUAGCUUCACAGAUUUAUUACGUUUGUAAGUGCCAAAAAAAACUACAAGAAAAUUUCCUCCAUUCCCCAAUUUCCUUCUACUUUCACAAAGCUACAAUGAGAAAAGGAAACUUUACGUUAAAAUCAUCAAAUGCAAUGCUUUCAACGUCAUAAAUCAGAAUUACAAUAUCUAGGAGACUAUAACAAUAAUUGGAUGAAGAAACUAUUGCCUGAAUGAAACCAUAAAUUUAUUAUUAUCAACUACAUAAACCAGAAAGAUGGGGCAAAAUGAAAUAUAUAUAUAUAUAUAUAAGAAAAGAAAUCUACUUUCCCAUCGGGCUAAGACGCGGCAAUUUGAAUCUAGCAUAAAAUACAUCAAAAACAGUGUUCAUUCUCCGACCCCAAAAGGAAAAGCAGAAUAAUUUAGAGGCGUGACAGAAUCCAUUAAGCAAGAGAAUUAUGGGUUUACGCGCAUUGGCAGUUAAAGAAUUACAAAAUCAUAAAGACCCAGGAAAAAACAAAAACACAGCAGAUCUGACCAUAGAAGGAAAAAAAUCCAAAACAUUAAGUAACUCUACACCACAUACAAAAAGUAAAAUAAAGAAAGUGGAGCUCUCAUGCAGUGUUUGGUUGCUGAGAAAACGCACGAUGGAGGACAGAAAUUUGAAAUUUUCAAAUCUCAGAUCUCUCCAGCCAACCCAACCUAAACACAUCCAUUUCAGUGCCUCAUUACCUCAGGUUUUUCAAAAUCCAAAAUCAAAAUCGAAACCUCAAACCGGAUCAAAGAUGAAAUUGAGAGAAAAGAAAACUUACUCCAGCAAGCGAGAGAGAGAGAGAGAG
Molecule: unclassified non-coding RNA, 878 nt
Filed under: Hevea brasiliensis (rubber tree)
Lineage: Eukaryota; Viridiplantae; Streptophyta; Magnoliopsida; Malpighiales; Euphorbiaceae
Source: RNAcentral